CUGGCGGCAGGCUUAACACAUGCAAGUCGAGCGGUAGCACAGGGGAGCUUGCUCCCCGGGUGACGAGCGGCGGACGGGUGAGUAAUGUCUGGGAAACUGCCUGAUGGAGGGGGAUAACUACUGGAAACGGUAGCUAAUACCGCAUAACGUCGCAAGACCAAGGAGGGGGACCUUCGGGCCUCUUGCCAUCAGAUGUGCCCAGAUGGGAUUAGCUAGUAGGUGGGGUAAUGGCUCACCUACGCGACGAUCCCUAGCUGGUCUGAGAGGAUGACCAACCACACUGGAACUGAGACACGGUCCAGACUCCUACGGGAGGAGCAGUGGGGAAUAUUGCACAAUGGGCGCAAGCCUGAUGCAGCCAUGCCGCGUGUGUGAAGAAGGCCUUCGGGUUGUAAAGCACUUUCAGCGAGGAGGAAGGUGGUGAACUUAAUACGUUCAUCAAUUGACGUUACUCGCAGAAGAAGCACCGGCUAACUCCGUGCCAGCAGCCGCGGUAAUACGGAGGGUGCAAGCGUUAAUCGG
RNAcentral lists this ribosomal RNA (522 nucleotides) under Serratia sp. RTY59. Its description in RNAcentral is "bacterial SSU rRNA". It matches the Rfam family "Bacterial small subunit ribosomal RNA", at positions 36 to 548 of the family's 1533-position model. Lineage: Bacteria; Pseudomonadati; Pseudomonadota; Gammaproteobacteria; Enterobacterales; Yersiniaceae. The record is from RNAcentral.